This is a long non-coding RNA of Ipomoea triloba (trilobed morning glory), 150 nucleotides long. RefSeq lists it as uncharacterized. The transcript is spliced from 3 exons. Lineage: Eukaryota; Viridiplantae; Streptophyta; Magnoliopsida; Solanales; Convolvulaceae. The record is from RefSeq and is a predicted model, not a curated record.
AUGUUGUUGGUGGCAAGUGUAAGCUGGGUAGAAAGAUUGGGAGUGGCUCUUUCGGUGAGCUGUAUUUAGGUGUCAAUAUACAAAAUGAAGAAGAAGUAGCCAUCAAGUUGGAGUCAGUCAAGACCAAACACCCUCAACUUCACUACGAAU